GCUCGGGUCCUCACCGCAGACCCAGAUUUCCAUGAUCAGAUCUUACUUCACACUCUGCAGGCAGAACAACUGUGUCUUUAGUGCUUUUCCUCCAACCCCACAACAUGAUUAUGUGAAUUUGUUCACAUGAUAAAGGCUGUACCCUCUGUUGGCUCUUUCAAAUCUGCUGCAGCCACAGGACAUUUGCAUAGUGUCCCUAGGGAGGACCUUCCCUUGCAAGUCUGAGAUAAAAGGUCACCUCUAAAAUGGUCUUGACUUAUGAGAGCUCAUCAGUUCAACUUCACAAAAUGAAAUUCCCUGCUCAGCUCUUGGGGCUCUUCAUGCUCUGGAUCCCAGGAUCCAGUGGAGAUAUUGUGAUGACACAGAGCCCUCUGUCCCUGCCCAUCACCCCUGGACAGCCGGCCUCCAUCUCCUGCAGGGCCAGUCAGAGCCUCGUGCACAGUAAUGGAAACACCUAUUUAAACUGGUACCAGCAGAAGCCAGGCCAGUCUCCACGGCUCCUCAUCUAUUAUGCUUCCAAUCGGGCCUCUGGGGUCCCUGAUAGGUUCAGUGGCAGCGGGUCAGGGACAGAUUUCACCCUGAGAAUCAGCAGGGUGGAGGCUGAGGACGUCAGGGUUUAUUACUGCCAGCAAGCUCUACAAACUCCUCCCACGGUGAUUAAACAUAGAACAAAAACCUGCCUGGCUGGGGAUUUCAACUGCCCCAAAGUGUUGCUUGUCUGGGUGGCCCACAGCAGGUUGUCGGAGUGUGUGUAAGCGGAAGAUGUUGGACACCCCAGGGAACUAGGUCGCGGCUGAGGGCCCCGCACCACGAGGACUUUGGCUCCCCUCGGGCACCAUGUGCUAAGGCCCCAUCAGGUGCCACAGCCUUAGGAUGGCAGAAGCGGUCCUGGGAUGGGUCUGUGGUCUUACGUUUCUUUUUUGGGUGUGUUGUUAGGGAUGGAAGUAGGCCUCCCAGGCCGGGGAUUUUUGGCUUCGGGUAGCCCCGCCCCCCACUGUUUUCCAGGAUGGCGAAAGUGUUUAUACUCCAUCACCUACGUGUACAUACCAGUUGCUAUAAGUGCUUUGCAAUCCUUCUUAUAUCAGACAUUUAUUGUCUCCAUGCUGGUAGAUCCUGAAAGGGUAUUGUGCUAAAAAUGUA
Hyaena hyaena (striped hyena) is the source of this 1140-nucleotide non-coding RNA. NCBI's taxonomy places the organism in Eukaryota, Metazoa, Chordata, Mammalia, Carnivora, Hyaenidae. The record is from the annotation of a RefSeq genome assembly.